Biomphalaria pfeifferi is the source of this 390-nucleotide non-coding RNA. The record is from the annotation of a GenBank genome assembly. Lineage: Eukaryota; Metazoa; Mollusca; Gastropoda; Planorbidae.
UUUUAUUAUUUUACUUAUCAGACUGCUAAGAAGUGCUAACCAUUGACACACCGCCAAAAGAUGAAACCCUCAAUAGCCAGUCUUUAGUCAUUGUAGAGUCAGAAGUUCAACAGUUGAACAUUGGGAUAUUUGAAGCUCGAGUUGGUCAUUUAAAACAAAACUGUUCUUUCUUACUAUCCUCCAGAGAUUUGGAUUUGUCCCCAACAUUGGAUCUGUAGUGACUCAAUGUGUCAUGUCCUACAUUGGAUCUGUACUGACUCAAUGUGUCAUGUCCUACAUUGGAUCUGUAGUGACUCAAUGUGUCAUGUCCUACAUUGGAUCUGUAGUGUCUCAACGAUUCAUGUCCUACAUUGGAUCUGUACUGACUCAAUGUGUCAUGUCCUACAUUGU